GAUCAUCACACAUCCUCGGAAUUCUCUUGUUUAGGAAACUUCAAUAUGGCAUUUUCUGGCAAGCUGCUUCUAUCUUCUGGAUUUAGCAACAUAUGAAGCAAUCAUCACAACAACAUUUUUCACUUACUACUAACAAAAGAAGUCUAGACAACAAUUUGUGUUUGCCUACAAAAACAAAAUAGUAGUCAGAGCUCCAACCUGCUGGGCAUUGAUGCAGCCUGCAGUUCCAACACUCAGCAGCCCGAGCAGGAAGAACUUGUGUUUCAGGUUACCCUCAGCUAUGGAAUGGUAGCCUGCCUGUCUCAAGGCAAACAGGAUGUGUGUAACUAUACUUCUGGAUGGUAGCAGUGACGCCAUUUUAACAGUAAAAAGCAACAUUGGCAAGCUUCAGAC
This is a long non-coding RNA of Microtus oregoni (creeping vole), 393 nucleotides long. RefSeq lists it as uncharacterized. The record is from RefSeq and is a predicted model, not a curated record. The transcript is spliced from 4 exons. NCBI's taxonomy places the organism in Eukaryota, Metazoa, Chordata, Mammalia, Rodentia, Cricetidae.